RNAcentral lists this ribosomal RNA (510 nucleotides) under uncultured bacterium. Its description in RNAcentral is "partial 16S ribosomal RNA". It matches the Rfam family "Bacterial small subunit ribosomal RNA", at positions 28 to 507 of the family's 1533-position model. The record is from RNAcentral.
GACGAACGCUGGCGGCGUGCUUAACACAUGCAAGUCGAACGAAGGGCGAUGGAAGCUUGCUUCUAUCAAUCUUAGUGGCGAACGGGUGAGUAACGCGUAAUCAACCUGCCCUUCAGAGGGGGACAACAGUUGGAAACGACUGCUAAUACCGCAUACGAUCUAAUCUCGGCAUCGAGGAUAGAUGAAAGGUGGCCUCUACAUGUAAGCUCUCACUGAAGGAGGGGAUUGCGUCUGAUUAGCUAGUUGGAGGGGUAACGGCCCACCAAGGCGAUGAUCAGUAGCCGGUCUGAGAGGAUGAACGGCCACAGUGGGACUGAGACACGGCCCAGACUCCUACGGGAGGCAGCAGUGGGGAAUCUUCCGCAAUGGACGAAAGUCUGACGGAGCAACGCCGCGUGAGUGAUGACGGCCUUCGGGUUGUAAAGCUCUGUUAAUCGGGACGAAAGGCCUUCUUGCGAAUAGUGAGAAGGAUUGACGGUACCGGAAUAGAAAGCCACGGCUAACUACGUG